CCUACGGGAGGCAGCAGUGGGGGAUAUUGCACAAUGGGGGAAACCCUGAUGCAGCGACGCCGCGUGUGGGAAGACGGUCCUCUGGAUUGUAAACCACUGUCCCCAGGGACGAAGAUGACGGUACCUGGGGAGGAAGCUCCGGCUAACUACGUGCCAGAAGCCGCGGUAAUACUUAGGGAGCGAGCGUUGUCCGGAAUUACUGGGGGUAACGGGCGCGUAGGCGGGGAUGCAAGUUGGGUGUCAAAAGUACCGGCUCAACUGGUAGUCGCACUCGAAACUGGAGCUCUUGAGUGAAGUAGAGGCAGGCGGAAUUCCUAGUGUAGCGGUGAAAUGCGUAGAUGUUAGGAGGAACACCAGUGGCGAAGGCGGCCUGCUGGGCUUUUACUGACGCUGAGGCUCGAAAGUGUGGGGAGCAAACAGGAUUAGAUACCCCUGUAGUC
This 440-nucleotide ribosomal RNA is filed under the name uncultured bacterium. Its description in RNAcentral is "partial 16S ribosomal RNA". It matches the Rfam family "Bacterial small subunit ribosomal RNA", at positions 338 to 795 of the family's 1533-position model. The record is from RNAcentral.